RNAcentral lists this ribosomal RNA (1140 nucleotides) under Triticum aestivum (bread wheat). RNAcentral's name for it is "partial small subunit ribosomal RNA". Lineage: Eukaryota; Viridiplantae; Streptophyta; Magnoliopsida; Poales; Poaceae. The record is from RNAcentral.
GGCGGCAUCGGCGACGAGAUCCUGCAGCGGGCGUCCAUCAUCUCCUCGCCUCCGCGCUCCGACACCUCCACCCCGUCGGCGCCGCCCUCCCCAUCCCCGUCCCUGCCGCCGAACCCGCACUCGUCCCGCCGCAAGUCCCGCUUCCACGGCCCCUCCGGCCCAGACCCCUCCGCCUCCCUCCGCCGCACCACCUCCUCCGCGUCCAACUCUCCACCCACCGCCUCCGCGCCCCCGCGCCCCCUGCACCACCGCCGCCACGCGUCCGCCUCUGGCUCCCCCGCCGUCGACGGUUUCGACGACGGCGUCGCUCGACUCAACGCCUUCCUCCGCCGCCAGCGCGCCGCCCUCGCCGAUCUGUCCUCCGGGGACCGCUCCUCCCGCUCGAGGUCCACGAAGCUCGUGCUCUCCGACGCCUCCAAAAGUGUGAGCUCGAUCGUGGCGGCGAUAUGCUACGCGUGGAUGCAGUCGAGCAAGGGGGACGGCCAGGCGGCGGCGGUGCCGGUGGUGAACAUGCGCCGGAGCAGGAUGGCGGGGUGCAGGCAGGCGGCCUGGCUCCUCUACCACGUCGGGGUCGACGCCUCGGCCCUGCUCUUCGCCGACGAGGUUGAUAUGGAGGGAUUAAUAAUGGAUCAGCGGGCCAGCUUGGUGGUGGUGGGGCAAGAUGUUUUGAGAUCAAACGGUGAGGCGGGCUCAGUUUGCACACUCCUCGCCAAUGACCAUUCUGAAGAAGCUUAUGCCCUACUUCAGAGCCUGGACAUAAAGAAACUUCUGCUUGCAGGUAUCCUGUUAGAUACAAACAACCUUUCCAAGGUGUGCUCAGAGAAAGAUUCAGAGGCGGUGCGAUCGCUCUUGCUCGGUUCCUCUGAGCAUAAACGGCAUGAAUUGUUUCAACAAUUGAUGCUUGAUCACAAUGAGCAUUCUUUCGUCGAGUUCUUGAAGAACACCUACAGAAAGUCAUCCACAGAUGGUGCUGGGGACAGUCCUCCAGAGCAAAAGAAUUCAGUUUCAGGGGCAUCCCAAGAUGCUAAAAAAUCCAAUUCAGCUAACCAGAAACCAGCGCGCGGAAAGCCUUCAGAAGAAGCUCCUCAGGGGAAAAACAAAUUUUCCUUGGCCAAGUUUUUUGGUUUUGGUCGAAAAUAA